GCUGAAGCGUACUCAAAGCUGAAUAGACACCUAUCUAUCUAACGAACGACACCAGUUUGUGUACCUAAACGUUUAACGAGAGCAUUCUUCAAACGUAUACCGUAUCAACAUAUUCAAACUCGUUAACUAUGGGUACGAAACAACAGCGUUAACGCAAAAACAGAAUGAAUGAUAAAGAUAAGGGCUGCAAAAUACACUACCCUUUCUUUUCCUUUAUUUUACACUUUUGAGUACUAUUAACCAGCUCUUUGCUCCUGCCUUCGCUGACGCCGUUGCUCGUCGCUCUCGCUAUUAUGUUGCCAUCGUUGUUUCUACUCUUCUGCUCAGUUCGAGUAAGCCAUUAUUUCUUCUGAUAUUUGAUAUCCAUAGUUACUUUAUACAACUACCCUAAUGGGAGUUUCCUCCCUUUCUUCAUCUGCAAUCGAUUUUACUGCCAAAACUUAUAAACUUUCCAUUUAUCUAUUUUUGUUUACCAUAAUGUCAAAAAACUUUUCGGGAUGUUGUAUUCUCUCGCCGCACCGGUAACGUCGGGGUGCGCCUUAAAAGUGGCCCUGUAAGUAGCCUUCACUCGUCGCUGCUUUAUGUUCCGCGUGUAUAUUACACGUUGACGAAUAUUUGACAGCAGGUACCUACCUUAUAAAGGUAAAAAUACUGCAGAUUAGCCCGAAGUACAUAUGUGUAAGCGUAAGAUAUACUUGAGUUGACAACACAUAGAGAUAGGAUCAAUGCACUCGAGAAGUCGAGAUGGGUAUAGGGUAGGUAGAGGUACCUACAUAAUGAAAUUAUUUUGUCUGCAAGCGUCAAGGAUGCGAAAUUAACCACAUGCUGCUCAAGUGUUCUCUACUCACCCCUAUUCCUAUACGAAUAUAAUUCCAUCUCUACACGUAAGGUCUCAAUAUCACAAAGCGUGCUAGACCUUAUAUUUUAUCGAGAGUAUUUAGAAUUAAACUGCGCAUCCCCCCCUCCUCCUCUCGAAAAGUACCUACUCAGUAUUUGAAAAAAAAGCUUAUACUUAUUCCAUCAUGUAAAGUUUUGCUUGUGUGUUUUUCAUUAAAUUUCUUGAAACUGUUCACCCGCGCGCUGUUUUUCUGCACAUAUGUUUCCAUUCAUUUCUGAUUAGGUGUAAUGUGGCAGUGCUUAAAGUCGUCUCUCGUCUGGUGAUUUGACAAAUGACAGUUUUAAAUUAUUCACUAGAUACGUCUCGCUUUACUAUAUAGAAAACUAUAUGAAUAUUUUAAACUGUCUUCUGUGGGAAAUUGGUUCAUGGAAUUCGGGAUACUACAUCUGGAGUUUGUUUUUUUUUUUUGUAUAGAUUAUCAAGUGUUUCGAUGGAUGUUCAUUUUAAUUAUUUCGUGUACCUACAUGGGCAUUGAAUUCGUAUUUUCUUCAAGUCUUUUUAAAUGUAAAGAACUAUAUUUAGGUACUUACCUACGUGGGUACAUCGGAGUGGAUCGUAAAACAAAAAAUGAAAAAAAUAUUGUAAAAUUUCGAUUCAAUUUCACGGAGAAUAAGGAAUUUUAAUUUAUUGCCUUAAAGUCUCCCAGAAAAAAUUUCAACUUCAGAUGUGUUCCUGUAUACAGGGAAGAAUAUGGGCCCUCUAAAAGGGGGUCUUGUUUGAAGGGGGGAAACAGUUUCAAAAUUUAUUCUGCAUUUCUGUGUCGUUCUAUAGGUAAUACGUAGGUCAUUGUCCUCGAAAUCCAAUAGGUACCAUCGUUUAGAGUUUUACUCAUGGCUGGAAUUUUGUAUGUACAUCACUAUUUUUGGCUGGUUUCAAAAACUAUGUUGGAAAUUUAGAAUAGAUAUGUGGCGGUUCGAUUAUUUAGAUAUUACUGGCUGGUAAACAUAUCAUGUGAUAAGUGACACGAUUGUAUUUACGUUUAUCAGUUUAUGAUGUUACUUCAAAUAAUAAACAUUGCAACUCUCUUGUAUUUCCUACAAAUUGGUGACCCCGACGUAAACAUGGCCAAUCCUGACGGUGACAAUUUUCAAGAUGCAGUUGGUCCAGUUGUAGCUCGCAUUAAUGUUAAAUGCCCACCAUUUUGGCGCGCCGAUCCUACAUUAUGGUUUGUUCAAGUGGAGGCACAGUUUGCGAAUGCUGGGAUUUCUGCGGAUUUAACCAAGCGAUCAGAAACCUUCCAGUCUUUUCAGAAAAAUGAAACAGUUAGCUGAUGGUCAAGCUACAGAUAAUUUCCUGAAAGGUUUAUGGCUGAAAAAAUUACCAGAAAAUGUACACACAGUUUUGGUGUCAAGAAACGAUGGUAUUGAUGAUUUACUCGA
Planococcus citri (citrus mealybug) is the source of this 2277-nucleotide long non-coding RNA. RefSeq lists it as uncharacterized. The transcript is spliced from 2 exons. The record is from RefSeq and is a predicted model, not a curated record. NCBI's taxonomy places the organism in Eukaryota, Metazoa, Arthropoda, Insecta, Hemiptera, Pseudococcidae.